RNAcentral lists this long non-coding RNA (792 nucleotides) under Citrus x clementina. RNAcentral's name for it is "Citrus clementina (C. clementina) long non-coding RNA (CCLE_LNC005762)". Lineage: Eukaryota; Viridiplantae; Streptophyta; Magnoliopsida; Sapindales; Rutaceae. The record is from RNAcentral.
GUACAUUUAAAAAAAAAUUUAAUGAUUGGGUCCGCCCAUGCCGGCAACCCAAAUCCAAUAUAUUUUUUUUUUGUUGUAUUUAUUCUUAAAUGUAGAAAAGAGAGAAAAAGAAUAAGUGAUGUUAAUAUUAUUUAUAUUUAUUCUUAAAUGUAAUUGUAAUAUAUUACGGAUUUAAAAAGAAUUUAGAAGAGUGUCAAUAGUCUUCACUCCAUAGUAAUACAACACGAUUUCAUUUAAAAAAACACACAUAUAUAUAUAUAUACACACACAAAAUAAUGUUAUAGUGUUUAAAUUUCACAUCACACAUAUCUCUGUCUUUGGGCAGCAUCUUUCUUCGGAUCAUUUCGCUCGUAACAACGGCCACGUAUCCGCACACCUAUGGUGUAAUGAUCUCACAUCGAGGGCCCCUACUUGUACCCCAACAGACAAAAAGCCACACAGAUUAUGCUUUUACAUUCAGUAUUGAAGCCUUUGUGAUUCUGUGAUGUGAUUGAUACCAAAUGUUACAAACUCAUGGGUAUCUCAAACUCAUUAAUCCUAAAAAAACAGUUUUGUAAUAAAAAUGGAAAGGUGCUUAUAUUCUUAUUUAGGAAUCAUAGGGUUAGUUUGAAAAUGUUGUAAUUUUUAAAAUAAUAGACAUUAGAUGUGUUGUAAAAAUAAUUAAUUGUAAAGAGAAUCAGUAAAGUAUUUGAUAAAUCAUGUUUUCAUAAGUAAUGUGAAUGUGAGUUUGAAAACUCAUUGUACUUCUGAAAAUGACUAAAAUGUCAAAAAUAUACAUAAUGUUUUUAAUGU